UACGUAGGGUGCGAGCGUUAAUCGGAAUUACUGGGCGUAAAGCGUGCGCAGGCGGUUCGUUGUGUCGGCGGUGAAAGCCCCGGGCUUAACCUGGGAAUGGCCGUUGAAACUGGCGAACUGGAGUGUGGCAGAGGGGGGUGGAAUUCCGCGUGUAGCAGUGAAAUGCGUAGAGAUGCGGAGGAACACCGAUGGCGAAGGCGGCCUGCUGGGCAGUUGCUGACACUGAGGCGCGACAGCGUGGGGAGCAAACAGG
This 253-nucleotide ribosomal RNA is filed under the name uncultured bacterium. Its description in RNAcentral is "partial 16S ribosomal RNA". It matches the Rfam family "Bacterial small subunit ribosomal RNA", at positions 524 to 776 of the family's 1533-position model. The record is from RNAcentral.